This is a long non-coding RNA of Ctenocephalides felis (cat flea), 862 nucleotides long. RefSeq lists it as uncharacterized. The record is from RefSeq and is a predicted model, not a curated record. NCBI's taxonomy places the organism in Eukaryota, Metazoa, Arthropoda, Insecta, Siphonaptera, Pulicidae. The transcript has 5 exons.
GGCUGUUUUAGUUCAUUGUGUUUCAGAGUUCGGACCCAUGUGGUUUGUGUGGGCUUGAGCCCCCCAUGCAAUUUGAUGGGUGGGCUGAGCCCUAGUACACAAGAAAUGCAGAAUCGUUACACGACAGGAAUAUUUAAAAAUGAUAAUGAAAUGACCAGAGUUGCAUUUAUAAUGGAUCACCUUUGAACAGAUCUCAGGACUUCGGGGGUAGCUCACCUUUUAAUAGACUAUCUAGGCAUUCAUUAUCUGAAAAUGUGGAUCGUUCACCUAUGAGCAGCACAAAAUUAAAUUCCUCCACAGUUUCGAUCGAGAGCUGCUGGUGUAAAAACAAUGCAGGCUGCGGCAGGACCACUGCUUCAACAAGACAUAGAAUAAAUCCAAGUUUGUAUACUGAUGUAAAUAGUCCAGGCUUAACGCAAAGAAUUGUACACUACAGUGAAAGUUUUCAAAAUGAAAGACCUACAAUAGAGCAGCGUUAUAAGGGUGUUGGACAAUUACCUAUAGUAAAUUUAAAUAGAAAUCAGCCAAGAAAAACCUCCUGUAACUAAUUCUUCUGUUAAGAUAAAAAUUGGACCUCCAGUAACAGAACAAAGACUACAUAUGCUGAACACAGAUCAGCAUCGGCCAAUAGUUCCUUUGCCCAUUCAGGAAUCAAUUGCAUCUGCCACAAGAAGUGUGCUUGAAGCACUAAAAGAAAUUAGUCGAAAAAGAAUUCACACUCAGGACAAUUCAGAAUACAGCUUCUCAGAAGAUAUUUCCAAAAGACAAAGAAAGGAAUCGUUGACCAGAAAUAAUGUUAGUUCCACUCCAUUUGCAAGGCCUCCUAUCUAAACGACCUAGAGAUGACAAAUUCCAUGAUUUU